This 468-nucleotide ribosomal RNA is filed under the name uncultured bacterium. RNAcentral's name for it is "partial 16S ribosomal RNA". It matches the Rfam family "Bacterial small subunit ribosomal RNA", at positions 28 to 507 of the family's 1533-position model. The record is from RNAcentral.
GAUGAACGCUGGCGGCGUGCUUAACACAUGCAAGUCGAACGGAAAGGCCCAAGCUUGCUUGGGUACUCGAGUGGCGAACGGGUGAGUAACACGUGGGUGAUCUGCCCUGCACUUCGGGAUAAGCCUGGGAAACUGGGUCUAAUACCGGAUAGGACGAUGGUUUGGAUGCCAUUGUGGAAAGUUUUUUCGGUGUGGGAUGAGCUCGCGGCCUAUCAGCUUGUUGGUGGGGUAAUGGCCUACCAAGGCGUCGACGGGUAGCCGGCCUGAGAGGGUGUACGGCCACAUUGGGGCUGAGAUACGGCCCAGACUCCUACGGGAGGCAGCAGUGGGGAAUAUUGCACAAUGGGCGCAGGCCUGAUGCAGCGACGCCGCGUGGGGGAUGACGGCCUUCGGGUUGUAAACUCCUUUCGCUAGGGACGAAGCGUUUUUGUGACGGUACCUGGAGAAGAAGCACCGGCUAACUACGUG